GAGGGCUUCAUUCAUUCAUUCAUUCAUUCAUUCAUUCGUUCAAUAGCAUUUAUCGAGCGCUUACUAUGUGCAGAGCACCGGACCGAGCGCUCGGAACGGACAGUUCGGCGACGGAUAGAGACGGUCCCCGCCCUCCGACGGGCUCGCGGUCCGAUCGGGGGAGACGGACGGACGGGAACGACGGCGAUGGAUAGGAUCGAGGGGCUGAACGUCUCGUUAAAACCAUAGCAGAUGAAUAGAAUCGAGGCGACGUACGUCUCAUUAACCAAAUGGAUAGGGUGAUGGCUUGGCAAAUACGUUAUUAUUAUUAAUAAUCCCAGAUCCACCGUUUUUCCGCUGUGUGACCUCGGGCGAGCCACUUGGCUCCUCCGGGCCUCCGUUCCCUCGUCUGUAAAAUAGGGAUUGAGCCCGUGAGCCCCACGUGGGACGGGGACCGCGUCCAACCCGAUUUGCCUGUGUCUACUCCAGCGGUUAGUGCAGUGCCUGGCACAUAGUAAGCGCUGGACAAGCGCUGUUGUUAUUAUUAUUAUUAUUAUUGUUAAUAACAAUCCCGGAUCCACCGUUUUGCUGUGUGACCUUGGGCGAGUCGCUUCACUUCUCUGGGCCCCAGUUCCCUCAUCUGUCAAAUGGGGAUGGAGACCGGGAGCCCCGCGGGGGACGGGGAACGUCCCGAUCUGCUUGGAUCCACCCCAGUGCUUUAGUACGGGGUCUGGCGCGUGGUAAGCGUUUAACGGGUGCCUCGGUUCCCUCAUCUGUAAAAUGGGGAUGAAGACCGUGAGCCCCACGUGGGACGACCUGAUCCCCCUGUGUCUCCCCCGGCGCUUAGAACGGUGCUCGGCACAUAGUGAGCGCUUAGCGGAUACCAACGUUAUUAUUAACAAACACCCCAGUUAUUAUUAUUAGUAUCAUCAUUCAGUUGGGGCUCAGGGGGAGAAAUCCGACUUGCCCCCGCACCCCGACGCCUCCGUUCUCUCCCAGCCCGCCCCCCCGGCCGCUGGACCCCCGGCCCCUCCGCGCACCCCCCAGCUCCGCGGGACCCCGGAGAGCAGCUGCGGCGCCGAGCUGAGCGACAGCCCCCCACGGGGGGUCGGGGUGACCCGGCCCGCCCUCCGCAGGGGGAAGAGCCGCGUGCGGGUGCGGCGGGCCAGCAUCUCGGAGCCGAGCGACACCGAUCCGGACCCCCGGACCCCGGACCCCUCGCCCGCUGGCCGGUUCGUGCAGC
Molecule: long non-coding RNA, 1222 nt
Filed under: Ornithorhynchus anatinus (platypus)
Lineage: Eukaryota; Metazoa; Chordata; Mammalia; Monotremata; Ornithorhynchidae
Description: lncRNA (ENSOANG00000036124.1)
Source: RNAcentral